AUGGUGGUGUACUUAUUGGCUAGAUGGAGUAUAAAGUAUAAUGGUAAAACACAUGAAGAUGAGAAAAAAAUGUUUUUAUUAUUUAACAUCUACAUAUUUUACAUAUAUUGUAAAGUACAACACAACACAACAUCCAUCUAUUGUAGAUACAAGUACAACAAUACUGUACAAAGGCAGUAUAUACAUGUACUGUAUACCCUAACGGGCUCUGCUAUCGCUCUGCCAUUGACCCAAAAGUCGUUGUUGCUCUUCAUACCAGCUGAAGCUGAGGAGGAUAUACUUUUCAGAAUUCUUGUAUUUCCUCCCCUGAUCUGUUGA
This 318-nucleotide ribosomal RNA is filed under the name Triticum aestivum (bread wheat). RNAcentral's name for it is "partial small subunit ribosomal RNA". Lineage: Eukaryota; Viridiplantae; Streptophyta; Magnoliopsida; Poales; Poaceae. The record is from RNAcentral.